GUACGCCGCGUGCGGGAUGAAGGCCUUCGGGCUGUAAACCGCUUUCAGCAGGAACGAAAAUGACGGUACCUGCAGAAGAAGGAGCGGCAACUACGUGCCAGCAGCCGCGGUGACACGUAGGCUCCAAGCGUUGUCCGGAUUUAUUGGGCGUAAAGAGCUCGUAGGCGGUUGAGUAAGUCGGGUGUGAAAACUCUGGGCUUAACCCGGAGACGCCAUCCGAUACUGCUCUGACUUGAGUUCAGGAGGGGAGUGGGGAAUUCCUAGUGUAGCGGUGAAAUGCGCAGAUAUUAGGAGGAACACCGGUGGCGAAGGCGCCACUCUGGACUGAAACUGACGCUGAGGAGCGAAAGCAUGGGUAGCAAACAGGAUUAGAUACCCUGGUAGUCCAUGCCGUAAACGGUGGGCACUAGGUGUGGGUUCCAACUAACGGGAUCCGCGCCGUCGCUAACGCAUUAAGUUGCCCCGGCUGGGGAAGUACGGUCGCAAGACUAAAACU
Molecule: ribosomal RNA, 496 nt
Filed under: uncultured bacterium
Lineage: Bacteria
Description: bacterial SSU rRNA
Rfam family: Bacterial small subunit ribosomal RNA
Source: RNAcentral